UCUUUCAGAAGUUUUUGAGAAUCAGCCGGAGAAGAUACAGAGAUGGCGCUGUUAAAACUGUUGGUGAUCUUAGCUGUGAUUGGAGCUGUCGUUUGCGACCACGAUUAUAC
Molecule: long non-coding RNA, 110 nt
Organism: Papilio xuthus (Asian swallowtail)
Lineage: Eukaryota; Metazoa; Arthropoda; Insecta; Lepidoptera; Papilionidae
Exons: 2
Source: RefSeq, a predicted model, not a curated record